This 586-nucleotide small RNA is filed under the name uncultured Cenococcum. Its description in RNAcentral is "eukaryotic LSU rRNA". The stretch from base 128 to 281 matches the Rfam family "5.8S ribosomal RNA". The record is from RNAcentral. Lineage: Eukaryota; Fungi; Ascomycota; Dothideomycetes; Gloniales; Gloniaceae.
CGGAUCACACCGCGAACUUCUAAACCUUUGACGAUUGACUCAUGUUGCCUCGGCGGGUUCUCCCGCCAGAGGAUACAUCAAAACUCCUGUUUUAACGGUGUUGUCUGAGCUACAAGCAACGAAUCAAAACUUUCAACAACGGAUCUCUUGGUUCUGGCAUCGAUGAAGAACGCAGCGAAAUGCGAUAAGUAGUGUGAAUUGCAGAAUUCAGUGAAUCAUCGAAUCUUUGAACGCACAUUGCGCCCCUUGGUAUCCCGAGGGGCAUGCUUGUUCGAGCGUCAUUUCACCACUCAAGCCUGGCUUGGUGUUGGGCGACGUCCCCUUCAGGGACGCGCCUCGAAACGCUCGGCGGCGUGGCACCGGCUUUAAGCGUAGCAGAAUCUUUCGCUUCAAAAGUCGGGGCCCCGUCUGCCGGAAGACCUACUCGCAAGGUUGACCUCGGAUCAGGCAGGGAUACCCGCUGAACUUAAGCAUAUCAAUAAGCGGAGGAAAAGAAACCAACAGGGAUUGCCUCAGUAACGGCGAGUGAAGCGGCAACAGCUCAAAUUUGAAAUCUGGCUCUUUCAGGGUCCGAGUUGUAAUUUGU